This 774-nucleotide ribosomal RNA is filed under the name uncultured Neocallimastigales. Its description in RNAcentral is "partial large subunit ribosomal RNA". It matches the Rfam family "Eukaryotic large subunit ribosomal RNA", at positions 24 to 649 of the family's 3401-position model. The record is from RNAcentral. Lineage: Eukaryota; Fungi; Neocallimastigomycota; Neocallimastigomycetes; Neocallimastigales.
UAUCUCUGUAGAGUCUGCAUAUCAAUAAGCGGAGGAAAAGAAACUAACUAGGAUUCCCUCAGUAACGGCGAGUGAAGCGGGAAGAGCUCAAAUUUGAAAUCUUCAAGGUUCUACCUUGACGAAUUGUAGUUUAAAGAAGUGUUUUCUGUUGAAGUUUUGGUAAAAGUUCUUUGGAGUAGGACAUCAUAGAGGGUGAGAAUCCCGUAUUUGACCAUUAUUUUCAGCUGUGUGAUACACUUUCAAAGAGUCGGAUUGUUUGGGAAUGCAGUCCAAAAUGGGUGGUAAAUUUCAUCUAAAGCUAAAUACUGGCGAGAGACCGAUAGCGAACAAGUACCGUGAGGGAAAGAUGAAAAGAACUUUGAAAAGAGAGUUAAACAGUACGUGAAAUUGUCAAAAGGGAAGCGUUUGACACCAGUGUUGUUUUCUCGAAAAUCAAUUAAAAAUGGCGGGAUUUUGUGUUGUAUUGACUUUAUCAGCUUUCUGCACUUUUUUCCUGUCUUUUUUAAUGCACUUUUCGUUUAACAAGUCAACAUCAAUUUCUUUUGUUGUAAAAGGGUCAUUGGAAGGUGGCUUUCUUUUCGGAGAAAGUGUUUAUAGCCUUUGACUUCUGCAAUCGGAGAGAUUGAGGUCUGCAGCGUAGAUCCUUCGGGGUUAGAUGCAUUUGUGCUAAGUUAUAGCCUUUCAUAGACAACUUGUUGACUAUGAUCAGUCAUGUAGCUUACUCGCUUAUGUCAUUUUACCUACGCUUAGGAUGUUGAGUAGCGACAUACGCAC